This is a non-coding RNA of Cinara cedri, 286 nucleotides long. Lineage: Eukaryota; Metazoa; Arthropoda; Insecta; Hemiptera; Aphididae. The record is from the annotation of a GenBank genome assembly.
AUUUUUCUUCAAUUGUGAGUGAAGCAAAGAACAUUAUGGUUUUAUAAAGAUGUUUUUUUUUUUUUAUUUUUUUUUUUUUGUUCUGUGAACAACUUUUCUGCCAGAGAUCUCACUUUAAUUUUUAUGUGUUAUACCUUUUCAAAAAGAAAAUCAGUAUAAGAUCGUACUAUGAGGAGGUCAUUUUUCGAUUUUCUCAAGAGUUUUUCCAGCAAAUGUGAAAAACCGGGAAAAUACAUAGAAAAACCAGAAAAUCGGUACAAUAUUAAACUAAUAUUAUUAAAGAAAU